RNAcentral lists this ribosomal RNA (324 nucleotides) under uncultured bacterium. Its description in RNAcentral is "partial 16S ribosomal RNA". It matches the Rfam family "Bacterial small subunit ribosomal RNA", at positions 356 to 673 of the family's 1533-position model. The record is from RNAcentral.
AGGGAAUCUUCCACAAUGGACGCAAGUCUGAUGGAGCAACGCCGCGUGAGUGAAGAAGGUUUUCGGACCGUAAAGCUCUGUUGUUGGUGAAGAAGGAUAGAGGUAGUAACUGGCCUUUAUUUGACGGUAAUCAACCAGAAAGUCACGGCUAACUACGUGCCAGCAGCCGCGGUAAUACGUAGGUGGCAAGCGUUGUCCGGAUUUAUUGGGCGUAAAGCGAGCGCAGGCGGAAGAAUAAGUCUGAUGUGAAAGCCCUCGGCUUAACCGAGGAAUUGCAUCGGAAACUGUUUUCUUGAGUGCAGAAGAGGAGAGUAGAACUCCAUG